CAGUCGCCGCGGUAAUACGAAGGGGGCUAGCGUUGUUCGGAAUUACUGGGCGUAAAGCGCACGUAGGCGGAUAUUUAAGUCAGGGGUGAAAUCCCGCAGCUCAACUGCGGAACUGCCUUUGAUACUGGGUAUCUUGAGUAUGGAAGAGGUAAGUGGAAUUCCGAGUGUAGAGGUGAAAUUCGUAGAUAUUCGGAGGAACACCAGUGGCGAAGGCGGCUUACUGGUCCAUUACUGACGCUGAGGUGCGAAAGCGUGGGGAGCAAACAGGAUUAGAUACCCCCGUAGUCCCUGUCUCUUAUAC
This 301-nucleotide ribosomal RNA is filed under the name uncultured bacterium. Its description in RNAcentral is "partial 16S ribosomal RNA". It matches the Rfam family "Bacterial small subunit ribosomal RNA", at positions 509 to 807 of the family's 1533-position model. The record is from RNAcentral.